CUUCCACUUUUUUUCUUUCGCUGUGAACACGAAUGGCUUCAAGCGACUAGAAAAGAGUUAUUUUAAAGCACGGUUAGACGUCCCCGUCGGCUAAGAUGGAGCAACUGGGACCAGAGGUACCACCUGCUUGAGCAGAAGCAGCAGAAACAAGAGGACACAAGGUGUCGAAGCCACUGGACACGCGGCAGCUGAGAACAGUGCCUCGGAGACCCGGGACACCAGGGAACUCGGCCCGGGACGGGGCGGAGCAGAAGAGGCCUCCUGCUCCAUGGUCUCGGUUGGUGCCAUGUCGCCGGGGGUGUGUGAGAUGGACCAAGCUGUGUGUCAUAACCCCCAAGGCAGCAGGUCACGAAUCACAUGAAAUAUAAAUGGUCUAAAUGCUCCAACUGAAAACCAAAGGUUGUCAGAUUGGAAAAACACCAAGACCCAAUGAUGUGAUUCCCCCAAGAAAUCCACUUUAAAUACAAAGACUUAAGAACAGGUUUUAAAAAACACAAAACUGGAAAAAGUUAAAGCAGGCUACCCCUGAUCACAGAGAGCUGGCGUGACCACACUAACAUCCAAGCAGAAGCACCUCAGGCCUCGGCGGCGAGACAGGCGCGUGGGCUGGGGCACAGCCACCAGGCUGCGGGAGGAGCGGAGGCUUACACACCCCCACGUGUGGUGAAUCUCACCUACACCAGUGAAAUGAGCCAGACCCCCCAAGAAAAGAAAAAAAAAGGAAAGCUACAUUGUUACACUUCUAAAAGUUGUGGAAGAUGCCUAUUGAUCCAUCGGGGAGCCAGGAGGCAGGUGCUGUGGCCGGCACAGUCGCCUGUCACAAGCAUCCAGCUGACGUCGGUCUGGGUGCCCGCUCCCCCGGCUGCCUCAGCAGAAUGAGUGACCGGGCUGCUCUGGGGCCAGGCCCAGACCCGAGGGCUCCUCCGCCUGGGGCAGGGAGCCCGGGGCCCAGGCGCGAGCAGAGGAUGGAGCCCUGCCCGGCGUGAGGAGGGCCGCUCGCGGCGCUGGCAGGAGGGACUUGUGAUCUGGGAGGUGCUCCGCC
This 1042-nucleotide long non-coding RNA is filed under the name Sus scrofa (pig). RNAcentral's name for it is "lncRNA (ENSSSCG00015060990.1)". The record is from RNAcentral. Lineage: Eukaryota; Metazoa; Chordata; Mammalia; Artiodactyla; Suidae.